GGCCAUUGACCAGCGGGACAAGGUGGGCUCAAUGUCAUCACAAGGGUGCUUAAGAGGGAAAGAGGAAGCCAUGAGGGUCAGAGUCAAAGGAAGACUUGAAGAUACUACACUGCGGACUUUACAGAUGAAGGAAGGGGCGAAAACCAAGAAUGUGGGAAGCCUCUAGAAGCUAGAGAAGGCAAGGAAACAAAUUUUCCACUAGAGCCUCCAGAAGGAACACAGCCCUGCUGACCCACUGUAAUGUCUGACCUCUAGAUGUGUAAGGGUAGUAAGACUGAAAGUCUCAGAAAGGCACUGUUACAUUCUUAUUCCACAACUAUGCAACUCGAAACUGGGGUCCUCAGCAGUGAGCGAGGGGUGAGAGAAGACACUGUAUAAACAUGGCACAUCCUCCUGGAAAGUCAACUUUACUCAAAGGUUCUUACACACAGUGACAGCUAGCAGAGUCUAAAAUGCUGACAUUAUGACUUAGAGAUGUGAUAAAGAGAAACAUCUACUGCAUUUUCUGUGUGCUUCCUGAGGUUGACUUCAGAUCGAUGUGGAUGUACACUUGGACCAAGUUCUACAUUAGGAACACUUUAAGUGAUUGAUCUAGAGGUGCCCCUGCUGUGAAAAUGGAAAGAAAUGUAAUGUUUUGGUCAUGGGAGAGCUGCCAAUUCCACAGUACCAGCACAGGCCCUGGAGCCAGACUGUCUGGGGUUUGAAAUCAGCUCCUCCACCUACCAGCUAUUGACCUCAGUUUUGCAAGAUGUUAUCACCAGAGGAAGCUGCAUUAAGAGUACCCUUCUCUAUGGUAUGUCUUACAACUGCAGAUGAAUCUACAGUUCCCUCAAAACAAAAAGGUUGGGAACAUGACCUAAUGGUGUGCUACCAUGCAACUCUUUCCAGCUCCAUGUUCAGUGACUUCAUAUUGGGUGUUGUCUAUUUGCCCUCCACUUGUAUACAGGCUGGCCUUUGUGACUUGCUUUGUACAGCUGAUGUGACAUCUUGAGACAUCUGAGGUCAAGGCCUUAAGAAGACUGGUAGUUUUUUCUGGAUGCUAAGAGAAGAAAGUGAUUCAAGGAGGAGGGUGUAAUCAACUUCAUCAAGUGCUGCUGACAAGUCAAGUAGGAUGAGGACCAGGAAGUGGUCAUUGGAAAUACCAGUGUGGAUGUCAUUUGCGAUUUGGUAGAUAGUAAUCCGAGUGGAGCAUUUGGAGC
This 1199-nucleotide long non-coding RNA is filed under the name Pan troglodytes (chimpanzee). Its description in RNAcentral is "lincRNA". Lineage: Eukaryota; Metazoa; Chordata; Mammalia; Primates; Hominidae. The record is from RNAcentral.